Molecule: ribosomal RNA, 436 nt
Filed under: uncultured bacterium
Lineage: Bacteria
Description: bacterial SSU rRNA
Rfam family: Bacterial small subunit ribosomal RNA
Source: RNAcentral
AUGGGAACGCGAAGAACCUUACCUAGACUUGACAUCUCCUGAAUAGUGUAGAGAUACAUGAAGCCCUUCGGGGCAGGAAGACAGGUGGUGCAUGGUUGUCGUUAGCUCGUGUCGUGAGAUGUUGGGUUAAGUCCCGCAACGAGCGCAACCCUUAUUACUAGUUGCUACCAUUAAGUUGAGCACUCUAGUGAGACUGCCCGGGUUAACCGGGAGGAAGGCGGGGAUGACGUCAAAUCAUCAUGCCCCUUAUGUCUAGGGCUACACACGUGCUACAAUGGUGGGAACAAAGAGAUGCAAUACCGCAAGGUGGAGCUAAACUCAAAACCCCAUCCCAGUUCGGAUUGUAGGCUGAAACUCGCCUACAUGAAGUUGGAGUUGCUAGUAAUCGCGAAUCAGAAUGUCGCGGUGAAUACGUUCCCGGGUCUUGUACACACCG